RNAcentral lists this ribosomal RNA (407 nucleotides) under uncultured Arcobacter sp. RNAcentral's name for it is "bacterial SSU rRNA". It matches the Rfam family "Bacterial small subunit ribosomal RNA", at positions 111 to 535 of the family's 1533-position model. The record is from RNAcentral. Lineage: Bacteria; Pseudomonadati; Campylobacterota; Epsilonproteobacteria; Campylobacterales; Arcobacteraceae.
UAAUAUAUAGGGUAACGUGCCCUAGAGAAGAGGAUAACAUUUUGUGAAACGAAUGCUAAUACUCUAUAUGCCUUUAAGACUUAAGUCUGCAAGGGAAAUAUUUAUAGCUCUAGGAUCGGCCUGUUCGGUAUCAGCUUGUUGGUGAGGUAAUGGCUCACCAAGGCAAUGACACCUAACUGGUUUGAGAGGAUGAUCAUUCACACUGGAACUGAGACACGGUCCAGACUCCUACGGGAGGCAGCAGUGGGGAAUAUUGCACAAUGGACGAAAGUCUGAUGCAGCAACGCCGCGUGGAGGAUGACACAUUUCGGUGCGUAUACUCCUUUUAUAUAGGAAGAUAUUGACGGUACUAUAUGAAUAAGCGCCGGCUAACUCCGUGCCAGCAGCCGCGGUAAUACGGAGGGCGC